UUUAUUAUUCUCGUUUUACAGAUGAUGAAACUGAGGAUGAGAAAAGACAAGGACACAGGACCACAGAGACAGUGGGAGAAGUAGGAGCAGAUCACGGCUUCCUUAUAAUUGCGCGAUUAUCUCCGCACCAGAGCAUGUUAUAUCUGGCCAAAUUGACUUUUCACAAGAUGACAAAAGUCACUUAAGCCAGGAGGUAUGUGCUGCUUGACCCACCACUCUAGCCAUUGCAUGGAAAGCCUCUUCAUGAUAUAAGAAAAUGAAAUCAAACCUUAAGGUGAAGCAGGACAAGAAGCAGGAAGAUCUACCGGACAGAUGGAGAAGAGUGAUGUAAAAGAGGAUGCAUGGAAAGAGGCCAUUUUGGAGUCAGAUGGAUCUGAUUUUGAAUUCCAACUUUAUUACCUACCAACUCAGUGAACUCUAAGCAAGUUUCCUCAUUUGUAAAUGGGGGUAAAUUACCCUUCUCAGCAUGACUGUGCAUCUUAAAUGGAAAAAACAGCAUGAAAGUAUCUAUCCCAGU
Gorilla gorilla gorilla (western lowland gorilla) is the source of this 517-nucleotide long non-coding RNA. RefSeq lists it as uncharacterized. NCBI's taxonomy places the organism in Eukaryota, Metazoa, Chordata, Mammalia, Primates, Hominidae. The record is from RefSeq and is a predicted model, not a curated record. The transcript has 3 exons.